RNAcentral lists this long non-coding RNA (357 nucleotides) under Nicotiana benthamiana. RNAcentral's name for it is "long non-coding RNA (NBEN_LNC018853)". Lineage: Eukaryota; Viridiplantae; Streptophyta; Magnoliopsida; Solanales; Solanaceae. The record is from RNAcentral.
AGAAGCCGAUAAGUCAUCAAAUCAACCGUCCAAAAUCAUCACAAAGUCUUUCCGGAGUGUGUAAUAGAGAAAAACACACUCGGAUACACUCAGAAAAGUCUCAGAUGGACUAAAAUCAUCAUUGACGAAGCGGUCUCAGAAAUCACCCCCAAAAACCUCGAUACAGACUUCAUCCAUGACCACGAACACUCAGAAAUAUGAUCGGAUCGUCUACGAGGCUCUGAUACCAUGUUAACAUCAAGAUUAAAUGAGAGAAUCAUGCAAAUUAUAGAGAGAGAAAGUAGAGAGAAGGAGGAGAGUAGGUGAGAAGUCUCUCGAAUGUCAGAGAGAGAAUUGCAUUAACCGAGAAACAAUAAA